CCUACGGGAGGCAGCAGUGAGGAAUAUUGGUCAAUGGACGAGAGUCUGAACCAGCCAAGUAGCGUGAAGGAUGACUGCCCUAUGGGUUGUAAACUUCUUUUAUAAAGGAAUAAAACGAGGCACGUGUGCCUUUUUGCAUAGUCUUUGUGAAUAAGGAUCGGCUAACUCCGUGCCAGCAGCCGCGGUAAUACGGAGGAUACGGGCGUUAUUCGGAUUUAUUGGGUUUAAAGGGAGCGUAGAUGGGUUGUUAAGUCAUGUGUGAAAGUUUGCGGCUCAACCUUAAAAUUGCAAUUGAUACUGGCAGUCUUGAGUACAGGUGAGGUAGGCGGAAUGCGUGGUGUAGCGGUGAAAUGCUUAGAUAUCACGAAGAACCCCGAUUGCGAAGGCAGCUUACUAAACUGUGACUGACAUUGAUGCUCGAAAGUGUGGGGAUCAAACAGGAUUAGAUACCCUAGUAGUC
RNAcentral lists this ribosomal RNA (460 nucleotides) under uncultured bacterium. RNAcentral's name for it is "partial 16S ribosomal RNA". It matches the Rfam family "Bacterial small subunit ribosomal RNA", at positions 338 to 795 of the family's 1533-position model. The record is from RNAcentral.